Molecule: non-coding RNA, 125 nt
Organism: Triticum aestivum (bread wheat)
Lineage: Eukaryota; Viridiplantae; Streptophyta; Magnoliopsida; Poales; Poaceae
Source: Rfam
AAUGUACUCCCUCCGUCCGGAAUUACUUGUCACGGAAAUGGAUAAAAAUGGAUGUAUCUAGAACUAAAAUAUGUCUAGAUACAUUCAUUCAUUCGACAAGUAUUUCCGGACGGAGGGAGUAACAA